AAGGGUGAGUAACGCGUGAGCAACAUGCCCGGUACUGGAGGAUAGUCGAUGGAAACGUCGCGUAAUACUCCGUAACAACAGUCUUCGCAUGGGGAUUGUUUAAGAGAUUUAUCGAUAUCGGAUUGGCUCGCGUGCCAUUAGCUAGUUGGCGGGGUAACGGCCCACCAAGGCGACGAUGGCUAGGGGUUCUGAGAGGAAGGUCCCCCACAUUGGAACUGAGACACGGUCCAGACUCCUACGGGAGGCAGCAGUGAGGAAUAUUGGUCAAUGGCCGAGAGGCUGAACCAGCCAUGCCGCGUGCGGGAGGACGGCCCUAUGGGUUGUAAACCGCUUUUGUUGGGGAGCAAUAAGUGCCACGUGUGGCGCGAUGAGAGUACCCAGCGAAUAAGCAUCGACUAACUCCGUGCCAGCAGCCGCGGUAAUACGGAGGAUGCGAGCGUUAUCCGGAUUUAUUGGGUUUAAAGGGUGCGUAGGCGGGUUCUUAAGCGUGAGGUGAAAUGCCACGGCUCAACCGUGGAACUGCCUCGCGAACUGGGAGUCUGGAAUGCCCCUGCCGUGGGAGGAAUGUGUGGUGUAGCGGUGAAAUGCAUAGAGAUCACACAGAACACCGAUUGCGAAGGCAUCUCACGAAGGGGUGAUUGACGCUGAGGCACGAAAGCGUGGGGAUCAAACAGGAUUAGAUACCCUGGUAGUCCACGCAGUAAACGAUGAUAACUAACCGCUGGUCCGUUGUGGUUCAGUGGCCAAGCGAAAGCGAUAAGUUAUCCACCUGGGGAGUACGACCGCAAGGUUGAAACUCAAAGGAAUUGACGG
Molecule: ribosomal RNA, 813 nt
Filed under: uncultured bacterium
Lineage: Bacteria
Description: bacterial SSU rRNA
Rfam family: Bacterial small subunit ribosomal RNA
Source: RNAcentral